AUUGAACGCUGGCGGCAGGCCUAACACAUGCAAGUCGAGCGGUAGAGAGGUGCUUGCACCUCUUGAGAGCGGCGGACGGGUGAGUAAUGCCUAGGAAUCUGCCUGGUAGUGGGGGAUAACGCUCGGAAACGGACGCUAAUACCGCAUACGUCCUACGGGAGAAAGCAGGGGGACCUUCGGGCCUUGCGCUAUCAGAUGAG
RNAcentral lists this ribosomal RNA (200 nucleotides) under uncultured bacterium. RNAcentral's name for it is "partial 16S ribosomal RNA". It matches the Rfam family "Bacterial small subunit ribosomal RNA", at positions 30 to 229 of the family's 1533-position model. The record is from RNAcentral.